This 253-nucleotide ribosomal RNA is filed under the name uncultured bacterium. Its description in RNAcentral is "partial 16S ribosomal RNA". It matches the Rfam family "Bacterial small subunit ribosomal RNA", at positions 524 to 776 of the family's 1533-position model. The record is from RNAcentral.
GACGAACCGUGCGAACGUUGUUCGGAAUCACUGGGCUUAAAGGGCGCGUAGGCGGCUCCGAAAGUCCGGGGUGAAAGCCCCCAGCUCAACUGGGGAAGUGCCUCGGAUACUGCGGAGCUCGAGGGAGGUAGGGGCGGAUGGAACUUCCGGUGGAGCGGUGAAAUGCGUUGAUAUCGGAAGGAACGCCGGUGGCGAAAGCGAUCCGCUGGCCCUCUACUGACGCUGAGGCGCGAAAGCCAGGGGAGCAAACGGG